Molecule: ribosomal RNA, 607 nt
Filed under: uncultured archaeon
Lineage: Archaea
Description: bacterial SSU rRNA
Rfam family: Archaeal small subunit ribosomal RNA
Source: RNAcentral
UGGUUGAUCCCGCCGGAGGUUACUGCUAUUGGUGUUCGACUAAGCCAUGCAAGUCAUAUGUUCCUCGUGAACAUGGCAUACUGCUCAGUAACACGUGGAUAACCUGCCCUUGGGUCUGGGAUAACCCCGGGAAACUGGGGAUAAUACCGGAUAACGCAUAUGUGCUGGAAUGCUUUAUGCGUAAAACGGAUUCGUCCGCCCAAGGAUGGGUCUGCGGCCUAUCAGGUAGUAGUGGGUGUAAUGUACCUACUAGCCAACAACGGGUACGGGUUGUGAGAGCAAGAGCCCGGAGAUGGAUUCUGAGACAUGAAUCCAGGCCCUACGGGGCGCAGCAGGCGCGAAAACUUUACAAUGCGGGAAACCGUGAUAAGGGAACACCGAGUGCCAGCAUCAUAUGCUGGCUGUCCAGAUGUGUAAACUACAUCUGUUAGCAAGGGCCGGGCAAGACCGGUGCCAGCCGCCGCGGUAACACCGGCGGCCCGAGUGGUGACCGUUAUUAUUGGGUCUAAAGGGUCCGUAGCCGGUUUGGUCAGUCCUCCGGGAAAUCUGAUAGCUUAACUGUUAGGCUUUCGGGGGAUACUGCCAGGCUUGGAACCGGGAGAGGUAA